This 484-nucleotide ribosomal RNA is filed under the name uncultured bacterium. RNAcentral's name for it is "partial 16S ribosomal RNA". It matches the Rfam family "Bacterial small subunit ribosomal RNA", at positions 30 to 507 of the family's 1533-position model. The record is from RNAcentral.
AUUGAACGCUGGCAGCAGGCCUAACACAUGCAAGUCGAGCGGAUGAAGGGAGCUUGCUCCUGGAUUCAGCGGCGGACGGGUGAGUAAUGCCUAGGAAUCUGCCUGGUAGUGGGGGAUAACGUCCGGAAACGGGCGCUAAUACCGCAUACGUCCUGAGGGAGAAAGUGGGGGAUCUUCGGACCUCACGCUAUCAGAUGAGCCUAGGUCGGAUUAGCUAGUUGGUGGGGUAAAGGCCUACCAAGGCGACGAUCCGUAACUGGUCUGAGAGGAUGAUCAGUCACACUGGAACUGAGACACGGUCCAGACUCCUACGGGAGGCAGCAGUGGGGAAUAUUGGACAAUGGGCGAAAGCCUGAUCCAGCCAUGCCGCGUGUGUGAAGAAGGUCUUCGGAUGGUAAAGCACUUUAAGUUGGGAGGAAGGGCAGUAAGUUAAUACCUUGCUGUUUUGACGUUACCAACAGAAUAAGCACCGGCUAACUUCGUG